Parelaphostrongylus tenuis is the source of this 73-nucleotide non-coding RNA. Lineage: Eukaryota; Metazoa; Nematoda; Chromadorea; Rhabditida; Metastrongylidae. The record is from the annotation of a GenBank genome assembly.
GCCUUGGUGGUGCAGUGGUAGAGCACGCGUCCCCGGAGAAGACGAAACGUGGGUUCGAUUCCCUUUUGAGGCC